UCUUUUGGUUCGAUUCUAAGAC
Molecule: microRNA, 22 nt
Filed under: Lotus japonicus
Lineage: Eukaryota; Viridiplantae; Streptophyta; Magnoliopsida; Fabales; Fabaceae
Description: lja-miR11131-5p
Source: miRBase by way of RNAcentral